This 69-nucleotide transfer RNA is filed under the name Pseudolabrus sieboldi. RNAcentral's name for it is "tRNA-Arg". It matches the Rfam family "tRNA". From Rfam's summary of the family: Transfer RNA (tRNA) molecules are approximately 80 nucleotides in length. Their secondary structure includes four short double-helical elements and three loops (D, anti-codon, and T loops). Further hydrogen bonds mediate the characteristic L-shaped molecular structure. tRNAs have two regions of fundamental functional importance: the anti-codon, which is responsible for specific mRNA codon recognition, and the 3' end, to which the tRNAs corresponding amino acid is attached (by aminoacyl-tRNA synthetases). tRNAs cope with the degeneracy of the genetic code in two manners: having more than one tRNA (with a specific anti-codon) for a particular amino acid; and 'wobble' base-pairing, i.e. permitting non-standard base-pairing at the 3rd anti-codon position. Lineage: Eukaryota; Metazoa; Chordata; Actinopteri; Labriformes; Labridae. The record is from RNAcentral.
AGGCACUUAAUUUAAGGAAAAUAUUUGAUUUCGGCUCAAAAACUUGUGGUUUAAGUCCACAAUUGCCUA